AGUGAACGCUGGCGGUAGGCCUAACACAUGCAAGUCGAACGGCAGCACAGUAAGAGCUUGCUCUUACGGGUGGCGAGUGGCGGACGGGUGAGGAAUACAUCGGAAUCUACUUUUUCGUGGGGGAUAACGUAGGGAAACUUACGCUAAUACCGCAUACGACCUACGGGUGAAAGCAGGGGAUCUUCGGACCUUGCGCGCUAGAAUGAGCCGAUGUCGGAUUAUCUAGUUGGCGGGGUAAAGGCCCACCAAGGCGACGAUCCGUAGCUGGUCUGAGAGGAUGAUCAGCCACACUGGAACUGAGACACGGUCCAGACUCCUCCGGGAGGCAGCAGUGGGGAAUAUUGGACAAUGGGCGCAAGCCUGAUCCAGCCCUACCGCGUGGGUGAAGAGGGCCUUCGGGUUGUAAAGCCCUUUUGUUGGGAAAGAAGAGCAGCAGGUUAAUACCCCGCUGUUCUGACGGUACCCAAAGAAUAAGCACCGGCUAACUUCGUG
Molecule: ribosomal RNA, 492 nt
Filed under: uncultured bacterium
Lineage: Bacteria
Description: partial 16S ribosomal RNA
Rfam family: Bacterial small subunit ribosomal RNA
Source: RNAcentral